UCCCUGGUGGUCCAGUGGCUAAGAUUACACGCUCACAAUGCAGGGAGCCCAGGUUCAAUCCCUGGUCAGGGAA
Molecule: transfer RNA, 73 nt
Filed under: Ovis aries (sheep)
Lineage: Eukaryota; Metazoa; Chordata; Mammalia; Artiodactyla; Bovidae
Rfam family: tRNA
About the family: Transfer RNA (tRNA) molecules are approximately 80 nucleotides in length. Their secondary structure includes four short double-helical elements and three loops (D, anti-codon, and T loops).
Source: Rfam by way of RNAcentral